Long non-coding RNA from Apus apus (common swift), 554 nucleotides. RefSeq lists it as uncharacterized. The transcript has 3 exons. The record is from RefSeq and is a predicted model, not a curated record. Lineage: Eukaryota; Metazoa; Chordata; Aves; Apodiformes; Apodidae.
AUCAGAAUGGCUACCCUGAACCAUUCCCUCUUGUCAUGCUGGCAGCAGCCAGGCAGAUGCCCAGAAGAUAGCAAGUGCAUGGUGUUUCCUCUUUGGGAACAUCUUGUUCCGGGGACAUGGGAUACUCAGAUGUCCUGAACCAGAUGUGGGGGCUGGAAUAUUUUACAGGAAACCUUGCAAGGAUGUUCUACUGCAAAGAAGUAAAGACUGCAAGUUAGGACAUCCACUUUGAAAGCACCCCAGAUGCAGACUCACUUCAUAAAGCCUGGAUCUGUAUGGCUGUCCCCAGGAAGGUCUGGAGCUUCUGAAUUGAAAGAAACAGGAAAAAGGCAGAAGUCCAUACUAGGAGAAAAACUGUUCUCUAUAGCAUGAUAACCCUGUCAGGAAACAAGACAAAGUCCUGCAUGAUCUAAAGCUGUGGAAAACCCUGAAGUCACAAGAAAAGGCUCAUUGGCAGUUUCAGAGAAACAGGAGGAUAAAUGUAGAACUGAUCGUCCUUCCACACAAUGACACCUUAGAGAGUCUGAGAGAAAGUUCCAGAUAAAUCCACAUGC